GAUGAACGCUGGCGGCGUGCCUAAUACAUGCAAGUCGAGCGAACAGACGAGGAGCUUGCUCCUCUGACGUUAGCGGCGGACGGGUGAGUAACACGUGGAUAACCUACCUAUAAGACUGGGAUAACUUCGGGAAACCGGAGCUAAUACCGGAUAAUAUAUUGAACCGCAUGGUUCAAUAGUGAAAGACGGUUUUGCUGUCACUUAUAGAUGGAUCCGCGCCGCAUUAGCUAGUUGGUAAGGUAACGGCUUACCAAGGCGACGAUGCUUAGCCGACCUGAGAGGGAGAUCGGCCACACUGGAACUGAGACACGUCCCAGACUCCGACGGGAGGCAGCAGUAGGGAAUCUUCCGCAAUGGGCGAGAGCCUGACGGAGCAACGCCGCGUGAGUGAUGAAGGUCUUCGGAUCGUAAAACUCUGUUAUUAGGGAAGAACAAAUGUGUAAGUAACUAUGCACGUCUUGACGGUACCUAAUCAGAAAGCCACGGCUAACUACGUG
This 497-nucleotide ribosomal RNA is filed under the name uncultured bacterium. RNAcentral describes it as "partial 16S ribosomal RNA". It matches the Rfam family "Bacterial small subunit ribosomal RNA", at positions 28 to 507 of the family's 1533-position model. The record is from RNAcentral.